AUUUUCUCGAACUUAGAAGAGCGAUUUGGUUAUUGAUUUUAUUGUUGAAUAAAUAUUUAUAAUAACUGGUUAGUAAUGAAAUGUUAUACGUUUCUAAAUAUAUCUAGUUUUCUCAGAAAUGGAUUUAAUUUAGCUUGGCUUGUAAAGUUAAUUUAUUUAAUAAUUGAUUUUAAUGGUGAGGUAAUAUAUUAGGGGAUGAGCUUUAGUGUAUAUUGUUAUAAGUAGGUAAAAGUUGGCAGAAUAGGUAGGAUUAGAAUUUUCCAUUCGUUAGAAGAAUGUUAUAAUUGGUUUUGUUAAAUAUUUUAUUUUUAUUGACUUUAAAUUUUUUAUGGGAAUGUAGUUUUUAAUUUUGAUUAAUUAGUAAAAAUGGUUAAAUUAGUAUAGUUAAAUUUAUAAAUAAGGUUAAUUUUAAGGUUAAUAAAAGGAAUUCGGCAAAUGAUUUUUCACCUGUUUAUUAAAAACAUGGCCUUUUGAUUAUGAUUUAAGGUCUAGCCUGCCCGCUGAGGGUUUAAAUGGCCGCGGUACUCU
This 528-nucleotide ribosomal RNA is filed under the name Callipogon relictus. Its description in RNAcentral is "partial 16S ribosomal RNA". The record is from RNAcentral. Lineage: Eukaryota; Metazoa; Arthropoda; Insecta; Coleoptera; Cerambycidae.